This 543-nucleotide ribosomal RNA is filed under the name Schaalia odontolytica. Its description in RNAcentral is "bacterial SSU rRNA". It matches the Rfam family "Bacterial small subunit ribosomal RNA", at positions 45 to 584 of the family's 1533-position model. Lineage: Bacteria; Bacillati; Actinomycetota; Actinomycetes; Actinomycetales; Actinomycetaceae. The record is from RNAcentral.
UGCUUAACACAUGCAAGUCGAACGCUGAAGCCUGGCUUUUGUUGGGUGGAUGAGUGGCGAACGGGUGAGUAACACGUGAGUAACCUGCCCCCUUCUUUGGGAUAACGCCCGGAAACGGGUGCUAAUACUGGAUAUUCACUGGCCUUCGCAUGGGGGUUGGUGGAAAGGGUUUUCUGGUGGGGGAUGGGCUCGCGGCCUAUCAGCUUGUUGGUGGGGUGAUGGCCUACCAAGGCUUUGACGGGUAGCCGGCCUGAGAGGGUGACCGGUCACAUUGGGACUGAGAUACGGCCCAGACUCCUACGGGAGGCAGCAGUGGGGAAUAUUGCACAAUGGGCGAAAGCCUGAUGCAGCGACGCCGCGUGAGGGAUGGAGGCCUUCGGGUUGUGAACCUCUUUCGCUCAUGGUCAAGCCGCAACUGUGGGUUGUGGUGAGGGUAGUGGGUAAAGAAGCGCCGGCUAACUACGUGCCAGCAGCCGCGGUAAUACGUAGGGCGCGAGCGUUGUCCGGAAUUAUUGGGCGUAAAGGGCUUGUAGGCGGUUGGUC